RNAcentral lists this ribosomal RNA (182 nucleotides) under uncultured bacterium. RNAcentral describes it as "partial 16S ribosomal RNA". It matches the Rfam family "Bacterial small subunit ribosomal RNA", at positions 1317 to 1500 of the family's 1533-position model. The record is from RNAcentral.
UACAUGAAGCUGGAAUUGCUAGUAAUCACAGGUCAGCAUACUGUGGUGAAUACGUUCCCGGGCCUUGUACACACCGCCCGUCAAACCAUGAGAGUUGGCAACACCGAAGUCGGUAGUCUAACCGCAAGGAGGACGCCGCCGAAGGUGGGUUGAUGAUUAGGGUUAAGUCGUAACAAGGUAAC